UCAUCAGAUUUUAUGAUGAGCAGCCGGGUUCGGGGUCCCCCAGAAGACAAAUAAAACAUAAUUAGGGAAGACAAAACGAAGAAACAUAGAAGACGAUCAAAAUGUGAAGAAGAGCAAACGCACAGAAGCGCAAAAGCAAAAGGAAAAUCUCAAAGUAAACGAUGUGCACAACUACCUGCAGCCUCAGAGGAAGAGAGACAGGGAGACACUGAUGAUGAUCCAAACCGGUAUAACAAAUAAAUGCAAAGAAACCGAAACAAAAAACGGCAGACAGAAGGAGACAACAGCAUCAGCAGCCAGCGACUAUAAGAAAACAAGAACGGGAAGGCUGACCAUCAGAGGAUCGAAGUUUGGAUACCCCCUAAAAGAAGGAGCGAUUGGGAAGUUAUGAUAAGAUUGAGAACAAUUAUGGGGCAUCCAAAUGUUAGCACUGCAACAGCAAAUGCAAAUGCAAAAGCAAAAACAACACUAAGCCACAAUGCCAAAACGCAGCGAAAGAGAUAAUGACUGACAGACAGAGGAGAUGGAUGGCAGCGAGAGAGAAAGGAAGGGAGUAGAGAAAAGAGCGCCAGUGCAAGCGAGAAAAAGGAAAACGUGCACUGGGCGACAGGUUGAGCGACGGCAACGGCGAAUAUGAAAACAAAAAGGGAAACGGCAACUGGCGUCGUCGGCGUUGGAUGAGGCAUGCAACAAGCGGCAGUAACAGCAACAACAACAA
This is a long non-coding RNA of Drosophila obscura, 718 nucleotides long. RefSeq lists it as uncharacterized. NCBI's taxonomy places the organism in Eukaryota, Metazoa, Arthropoda, Insecta, Diptera, Drosophilidae. The record is from RefSeq and is a predicted model, not a curated record. The transcript has 2 exons.